GCAAACUAGGAUAGUCUAGUGGCAAGGAUGUUUGACUCCCAGUCGAAAGGUGCCGGGUUCAAACCCAAAUAUCCGGAGUCUGUA
Merluccius polli (Benguela hake) is the source of this 84-nucleotide non-coding RNA. The record is from the annotation of a GenBank genome assembly. Lineage: Eukaryota; Metazoa; Chordata; Actinopteri; Gadiformes; Merlucciidae.